RNAcentral lists this ribosomal RNA (252 nucleotides) under uncultured Bacteroidales bacterium. RNAcentral's name for it is "partial 16S ribosomal RNA". It matches the Rfam family "Bacterial small subunit ribosomal RNA", at positions 524 to 776 of the family's 1533-position model. The record is from RNAcentral. Lineage: Bacteria; Pseudomonadati; Bacteroidota; Bacteroidia; Bacteroidales.
UACGGGGGAUGCAAGCGUUAUCCGGAUUUAUUGGGUUUAAAGGGUGCGUAGGCGGGUUAUCAAGUCAGCGGUAAAAUCGUGGAGCUCAACUCCAUCCAGCCGUUGAAACUGAUGAUCUUGAGUGGAAGAGAAGUAUGCGGAAUGCGUGGUGUAGCGGUGAAAUGCAUAGAUAUCACGCAGAACCCCGAUUGCGAAGGCAGCAUGCCGGCUUCCGACUGACGCUGAAGCACGAAAGCGUGGGGAUCGAACAGG